Oreochromis aureus is the source of this 4198-nucleotide long non-coding RNA. The record is from Ensembl. Lineage: Eukaryota; Metazoa; Chordata; Actinopteri; Cichliformes; Cichlidae.
UAAAUGUUAAAUAAGAUCUUUCUACAUGACAGAGUUUAGACAGAGUGAAGGGAGUGAAGAGGUGGAAGCAGUUCUUCUGUCAUUCAAUAUUUUUCUUGAUUAGCAUCAAAUUCAUAAUGAAUAUCCAUCAUGUUCUGGUCUUCUGCUUCUUAUCAGGUACAACUGGGUUUGUUAAAGCCAGCAUUUGGAUUGUACCUGAAGGAGGGAAUGUAUCACUAUAUAAUUACUUCACUGUGUCUGGAAACACAAAGUUCUUCUGUAAGGAAAAAUGUGAGCGAGCAGAAAACAUCCUCAUUAAAACAGAUGGAACCACAGCUCAGAGCGGCAGAUUCAGCAUUGAAUACAAAAAUGCAUCUUCAGGAAGAGGAGAGCUGACUAUGAAAAUCACACAUACGACCAAGUCUGACUCAAGAAUGUACCGGUUUGGUUUGGGUAAAUCUUCAGCUCCAGAUUCGUACUCAGAUCUUGAGGUCAGAGUUUCAAAUGAAUUUGAUAAAAGCUCUAGAAUCUUCCGUGCGCAGACUGAGGGAGAAGAAAUCUCAUUUGGAUGUGCCAAUGCUGUCCAUGGACAGAGGAAGUUCCUUUGUAAGAAUCUGUGUGAAAAAGAAGGAAAUAUUUUCAUUGACACAACUAAUGACAAAGCUGAGAAUGGCAGGUACAGCAUCGAAUACACAAAAGGAUCUGCGUUUGGACUUCAAGCAACCAUCAGACAGCUGACCAAGUCUGACACGGGACAGUACCGGUGUGGUUACGGCGACCCUUUGUCUCCUGAUUCAUACCACACUGAUAAUAUUUUUGUCGUAGAGGCUUCAAACCCACACACCUCUGCACCACCAACAAUGCAGACUCAGAGUUUCACUUCAGCCGUCUCCACACCUUCAUCAGAUUGUCCCGACUCUUUCUUGCCUCUGGCUGUCUGUCUCAUAUUAGUUGGUGUUUUACUGUUAUCGGUUUUUCUGCUGCUCCUCUACAUUUGGAAGAUAAAGAGGAACUUUGGACAAAGCCUUAGAGAAAAUGCUGAUGACACAAAUAUGGAGUUAUCUGUCACAUAUGAAAACUGGGGUCCAACAACCAAAUAUUAAGACUUCAGAAGUACCAGGAUCAAACCUACUCUGCAUUUAUAGCUCCUGAAGGUCCUGUUAUUCCCACCUGCACUGCAUGCUACAAUAUAUUGCCAUGGACUGUGAAUUUGUGCAGAAACCAGCUUAUUGAUUCAACUAUCUUGGCAUUCAUGUGGAACACCACUGAUGGGAUGAGAGUUGGAUCCAUUCCUUAAGCCGUUUUAGUCGUUUUUAUUUGAAGGCUCCACAGUUCAAUUCAAUUUUAUUUACACUGCGCCAAAGGCACCUCAUGGUGCUUUAUUUUGUAAGGUAGACCCUAUAUUAAUACAUACAGAGAAAAACCCAACAGUCAUAUGACCAAUGUUCCCUCUAAGCUGCGCACUGCUGGCACGGUCUCUGUGCACAGAAAAUCUGUGUUGCGCACAAAGAAAAAAUCAAACCUGAAUUGAAAUUAAAAUUAAAACUUCUACAAUUCUGUUUUGCAGUGCUAGUCAGUGAGUGACUGGCUGCUCCCGUAUGGGAUUAGAACGAUGCCACCUUAUCCCCAGCCAAUAAUGCGAUUCACAUUCGUAUAUAGGCAGCUAGUCGUCGACAGGCUAUGACAGCGUCCUUAUGUGCCGACACCGGUGUUUUAGCUAGCAAAGCGGCGUGGCUGAUGUGGAGUGAAGCCACGUUAAUGACAACGUGUCCAACCAUUGGAGAUGUGAGCAGGACAGACGGAACAAUUGAGGGAAAAAGUGUGGACUUUAUACCAGUUUUUAAAUUGUGUUGAUCGGCCACGUAAAACCAGAGUUAUGAUAAAAAUAUCUGCAAUGCUUGGUUUUCUUCCUGAAUACUGUCGUUGUUUAUAUUUACUGCGGGAAGAAACGUUUUAUAAGGAAAACGCUCCAAAGCACUCUCCGCCUGUGAGCAAAAACAAAACCAAAACACCCCCCACCCUUUCCUAUUGGUCGAAAAAAGUACCAUGUCGACCAAUCAAAAAAUGAUAUGGCAAGUUGUUAAGAGAUGGGGAGAAGUUUUAGGAGUGACGGCGGUGUUUUGAGAUGUGAGAGAUUUGCGACGUUUAGCACAAAUCUUGUGUAGUUAGUGUGUAGUUAGUGUGUAGUGUAGUCAAUAGUUUUGUUGUGUGUGUCAGAACAAUGAGGCGACUGCUGAAUGUUACAGGUGUUACAGCAGUGAUACAUCUCCUGUUGUCAGGCCUGCAGGUAUCAGGCUGUUGUUCUCCUUUAUCUCAUAGUGGACAGAAAUUAUUUUUUGGAGUGGCACAAAUAAUUUGUGUGGCAUCAGAUUUGAUGCAGAACAGCUGAUUGUUCUGUAAAUAUUUUGAAAAGUUUAUUUAAAAAACGCCUUGGCUGCAUUUAAAAAAUAAAUAAAUAGCUGCAAAAAACUUUGUUGUUUGCCAAACUCUACUCUACUUACUUUUUUGAAGAAGUAACUAUAUAAUUAAUUGCCCAACAUUGGUCAUUAUAUCCUGUAUUUUGCAGACAGAGUUACAGGACUCUCUCCCAGACCACAGACUCAUAAUACAAGUCAGAGCUUUAUUAAAAAAAAAAAGAAGAAGAAAGUUGUGUUUUCAAAAUUCGAGUUCAAGUUAUUUUUACUUCCAAUAGUGUUAACAUACUACACAGGUCAAUGACUACAUUUUUGUUUUACAUUUUCAUUGUAAGUGGGCUAAAGCAGUUAAUUAAAAGUAGUCGAACAUAAAUGUAAAUGCUGUGAUUUGAUUAUCUUAAUAAACCAUGUAACUUGUAUGGAUUUGAUGCUGGCGUGAUGUAGAAAUGUUUAGCUUAUUUUAGAGUUUAGACAUGUAGGAAUGUUUAGUUUGCUUUAGAGUUUAGAAAUGUGUUAAGAUAGAAUGUAGAAUUAUGGUAGAGACACUGACACUGCCCUGGAUAUAAACAAAGGCCUGAUUGUGUCAUGAGCUUAGAAGUAGAUUUGUAACUGGAUAACUGUGGUCUGGAGGGAGAUGGUAUUUAUGGCCCCUAGGAAGAGACACAUACCCACAGUGUUUUAACUGAUAUACUCCCACACCUAUAUGCACACUCACUCACGUGCACGCACAUACCAGGUAUGCACACACAGUCACUCACAAGCACUCACAUAGACACGCGGUACCCACACACAGGCACUCACGUGCUCGUGCACAUAGACACAGACACAGAGUUUGCAGCACACUGUGGGGGAUUUAUGAUGGGGUCGCCUCUAUAAAGCUGCCUGGAACUAACAAAGGGGUGAAGAUUGUUUCAGAGGGACACCGGCCUCGUCUUCCCUUCUAGAAGUGCAUGCUUAAAUGAAGAUGAAUAAAGAUUUUGUAAAAUAACUACUGAGUUCCGGUGCCAUUUCUGGAUCCCUCGACGAAUAAAAGAACCGGGGUAAAAACUGAUUUCGCAACAGUGACCACAGUGCACACGUCUGGUGUUGCUCACAGUGGUCCAAGGGAUCGCUCAGGGAGUUUGUGUGUUCGCUCAGACACAUGGAAAGUUAGAGGGAACAUUGCAUAUGACCCCCUAUGAGCAAGCACUUUGGCGACAGUGGGAAGGAAAAACUCCUUUAACAGGAAGAAACCUCCGGCAGAACCAGGCUCAGGGAGGGGCGGGGCCAUCUGCUGCGACCGGUUGGGGUGAGAGAAGGAAGACAGGAUAAAGACAUGCUGUGGAAGAGACAGAGAUUAAUAAUAACUAAUGAUUAAUAUUCCGAGAGGUGUAUAAAGACAUACUGACUGAAGAAGAAACACCCAGUGCAUCAUGGGAAUCCCCGGCAGCCUACGUCUAUUGCAGCAUAACUAAGGGAGGAUUCAGGGUCACCUGGUCCAGCCCUAACUAUAUGCUUUAGCAAAAAGGAAAGUUUGAAGCCUAAUCUUGAAAGCAGAGAUAGUGUCUGUCUCCUGAAUCCAAACUGGAAGCUGGUUCCACAGAAGAGGGGCCUGAAAACUGAAGGCUCUGCCUCCCAUUCUACUUUUAAAUACUCUAGGAACAACAAGUAGGCCUGCAGAGCGAGAGCGAAGUGCUCUAAUAGGGUGAUAUGGUACUACAAGGUCAUUAAGAUAAGAUGGGGCCUGAUUAUUUAAGACCUUGUAUGUGAGGAGCAGGAUUUUGAAUUCAAUUCUGGAUUUAACAGGAAGCCAAUGAAGGGAAGCC